UCAACAGCAAACAGGCCACUCCAAAACAGGAUUAAUCCCUCCCCAAAAGAAGACUAUAUCAGUGCAAUCUCUGCACUGGCACGGGACAGCAGUCCAUCUGCCCACCUGUGCCUAUACAGGUGUUUCUUUUUGCCAGCUCUCCCUCCGCAGGGCAGCAACCUCCUGCCAGCCCAUGACCUGUACCAUGCCUUCUUUUCUCUUUACUGACCUUCCUCAGCAGAUGCAGCUCUCCUGAAGGCCGCCCGCCUUUGAUCAUGCAGGAAUGCAAAUGCAGUCUAAUCAUUUGAAAAUUUCAGAGAAAUUCCACCUGCAGAACUUCUACCUGUAUCCUCCAAACUGUCAAGACCAUCAAAAGAUAGUCUAAGAAACCAACUGAGUCAAGAGGAGCCUGAAGAGACAAGAAAACUAAAUGGAAUAUGGUUUCUUGGAUUGGUUCCCAGCAAAGAAAAAGGAAUCUAGGAAAUUAGAAACUCAUAAAAACAAGAACAGAGAAAAGCCUGCUCUCACUCAGUGUAACAUGCCACAUCCAGAAGGACAAGCAGCACAGAUCUUCAGAGCCCAUCCCUAAGGCAGCUUCAUUCAUGGUCUCUGGGUGGCUGAUCCUGCUAACUGGCACCACAAGCCAUGAAUCAUGUGACUGUCUGCCCAAUUAUGACCCAUCACAUGCUCCAUGAACAGGACGGGAGUAUUAAAUGCUCACCUCAUUUCAUUUUUAGUGCAUAAAUAUAAAGGUGGCACAGGCAUACUAGACAGGCAUCCUUUUUUUUUUUUUUUUUGGCGGGUCCACAAUUCUCAGGGAGAGGGUUCCACGUGGAUGCACCAACUUAUUACUCAUGUGCAGCCCUGACAACUGUACAAAUGAGGGUCCUG
Molecule: long non-coding RNA, 870 nt
Organism: Talpa occidentalis (Iberian mole)
Lineage: Eukaryota; Metazoa; Chordata; Mammalia; Eulipotyphla; Talpidae
Exons: 3
Source: RefSeq, a predicted model, not a curated record